Long non-coding RNA from Lethenteron reissneri (Far Eastern brook lamprey), 279 nucleotides. RefSeq lists it as uncharacterized. The record is from RefSeq and is a predicted model, not a curated record. NCBI's taxonomy places the organism in Eukaryota, Metazoa, Chordata, Hyperoartia, Petromyzontiformes, Petromyzontidae.
CCGGCACCCGUACCCAGCGUUCGCCGGGUGGGAAAAUCAGGCAAGGCGGGAGGCUCUGCACGGUGCUAGGCCUCGACACCCAACACGCCACUCUGAGAACCAAGAAUAUAAAGAGACCAGCUGGACACAGGAGUAGCCCCCAUGAGUGAAGUAAAUACAGAGCGCUUCGGGAGGGCUCGGCACCACGUGACGUGCCGCCCCACGCAGCUUGCGCCGCGUGACACGGAUCGCACGAAUGCGCUGUCCAACCAAGUUCCUACCUGCCCACUCCGAAGGAAC